This 59-nucleotide transfer RNA is filed under the name Acidobacteriota bacterium. RNAcentral's name for it is "Acidobacteria bacterium (marine metagenome) tRNA-Gln". It matches the Rfam family "tRNA", at positions 7 to 64 of the family's 71-position model. Rfam says of the family: Transfer RNA (tRNA) molecules are approximately 80 nucleotides in length. Their secondary structure includes four short double-helical elements and three loops (D, anti-codon, and T loops). Further hydrogen bonds mediate the characteristic L-shaped molecular structure. tRNAs have two regions of fundamental functional importance: the anti-codon, which is responsible for specific mRNA codon recognition, and the 3' end, to which the tRNAs corresponding amino acid is attached (by aminoacyl-tRNA synthetases). tRNAs cope with the degeneracy of the genetic code in two manners: having more than one tRNA (with a specific anti-codon) for a particular amino acid; and 'wobble' base-pairing, i.e. permitting non-standard base-pairing at the 3rd anti-codon position. The record is from RNAcentral. Lineage: Bacteria; Pseudomonadati; Acidobacteriota.
GUGGCCAAGUGGUAAGGCGCGGGACUUUGGAUCCCGUAUUCGAAGGUUCGAAUCCUUCC